Molecule: ribosomal RNA, 3403 nt
Filed under: Parcubacteria group bacterium
Lineage: Bacteria
Description: bacterial LSU rRNA
Rfam family: Bacterial large subunit ribosomal RNA
Source: RNAcentral
UGGUUAAAUAGAAUCAAGAGCAAAUGGUGGAUGCCUAGACAUCAAAAGACGAUGAAGGACGUAGCAGCCUGCGAAAAGCCUCGGUUAGGUGGCAAGCAACCUUAGACCCGGGGAUUUCCGAAUGGGGAAACCCAUCUUAGUGGAAGACUAAGAUAUUAUGCACUGAAUACAUAGGUGUAUAAAGAUAACCUGGCGAAGUGAAACAUCUCAGUAGCCAGAGGAAAAGAAAAUAAAGCGCAACUAAUAACUCAUGGUAAUUAACCAAUUCAUUUAUGAAUGUUAAGAGCUAUAAGUUAUUAGCUGCUUAUUCCCUGAGUAGUGGCGAGCGAAAGGGGAUUAGCUCAAAUUCUGUAGACUAUGUCUUAUUAAGUUCUUCUUGCAAGAAACUUAAUGGACUUUUAAGGGUACAAGCCCGUAAUGUGUGCAGGAGGUUGUAAGAUAAUUACUUUUUCAAUUCUUGUAGAUUGGAGUAGAGUCAUAAAAUAUUUCUUCCCUAACAAAAUCCGUUGGAAAGCGGAGCCAAAGAAGGUGAUAGCCCUGUACGUAAAAGGGGUAAUAACUCUGCAGUUUUUAUCUUGAGUACCACGGGUCCCGUGAAACCCUGUGGGAAGUCGCCGCGACUAUGCGGUAAAGCUAAAUACUUUUGAUGAUCAAUAGUGAACAAGUACCGUGAGGGAAAGGUGAAAAGCAUCCCGGUAAGGGAGAUGAAAUAGUAUCUGAAACCAUUUGCUUACAAAGAGUCGGAGCCCAAUACUUUGUGCGUUCUUUAGCAUAAAAUUUUUAGGGUAAUGAUGAGAAAAAAAGUCUCGGAUCAGGUCAGUAAUGGCCAGGCGGAUCCGGAUACCGGAAUCAUCCUCGCAAGAGGCAGUGUGUCGGCUACGGCACUGUAAAAAAUCAAAGGGUCAUUCUCAUCAUUACCCGACCCUUAAUAAAGAACGUAGAAAGUAUUGGGUGACGGCGUGCCUAUUGAAGAAUGAGCCAACGAGUUUGUGAAUGCUGCUUAGCUUAAGUUCGAACAGAACGAAAGCGCAGUGAAAGCAAGGGUUAACCCCCGUUUUUCACUUAUUGAUUAUGACAGGAUUUAUCUUGUCCUAAUCAAUUUGUGAAUAUGUAGUAUUUACAAGACCCGAAACCAGGUGAUCUAGCCAUGGCCAGGUUGAACCAACUGUAACAGGUUGGGGAGGACCGAACCCACCCGCUGUGCAAAACGGGGGGAUGAGCUGUGGUUAGUGGUGAAAUGCUAAUCGAACCUGGUAAUAGCUGGUUCUCCUCGAAAUAGCCUUAGAGCUAGCCUUAAGAAGUAACUGUGGGGGUAGAGCACUGAAUGGGGAUAGGUGGCGUAAGCCUACUGUCUUCAACCAAACUCCGAAUACCACAGCGGAAUUCUUAGGAGUCAGACUAUGGGGGCUAAGCUCCAUCAGUCUAAAGGGAAACAGCCCAGAUCACAAGUUAAGGUCCCUAAAUCUAUGUUAAGUGUAAAAGGUGGUGAUUUGACUUAAACAACUAGGAGGUUGGCUUAGAAGCAGCCAUCCUUUAAAGAAAGCGUAACAGCUCACUGGUCAAGUUGGAUUGCGCCGAAAAUGUACCGGGGCUAAACAUAGUACCGAAACUGUGACUUUAUCCGCGCCUCACUGCGUUCGGCACGGAAUUUCGAAUUUUUAAUUUCUAAUUUCGAAUAAAUUUCGAAUGACUGAAUUUUUAAAGUACUUAAAAUUCAAAAUUAAAAAUUUAAAAUUUCCACAGCUGAGCAUAGCGAAGCGUGGAUAAGGGGUAGAGGAGCGUUUCUUAAGCGUCGAAGGUGAGUCGUAAGGCUUGCUGGAGUUUAAGGAAGUGAGAAUGUUGGCAUAAGUAGCAAAAAAGCGGGUGCGAAUCCCGCUCACCGUAAACCUAAGGUUUCCUGGGCAACGCGAAUCGACCCAGGGUUAGUCGGGCCUAAGGCGAGGCCGAAAGGCGUAGUCGAUGGAUGAGCAGGUCAAUAUUCCUGCACUAUCUAAUAACAAACCAAUAAUUGACGCAUUUUGAAUGUUCAAGCGUUCUAUGGUAUGGACGUCGUUGUCUCCGCAAGGAGUUGACGGAAGAUGAAGGUUCGCCGGAUUCAAUUUGAGUUGAAGGAGUGCCUAGAAAAGCUUAUUGGCAUGGUUACUAGAUAUCCGUACCGUAAACCGACACAGGUAGGUGGGCAUAAGUGUGCCAAGGUGUACGAGAGAAUGCUCGUUAAGGAACUCGGCAAAACAGCGUCCGUAAGUUCGCAAUAAGGGCUGCCUUGCUUCGGCAAGGCCGCAGCUAAAGAUCUCAAGCGACUGUUUACCAAAAACAUAGGUCCCUGCGAAAGCGCAAGCUGAUGUAUAGGGGCUGAUGCCUGGCCAGUGUCAGAACGUUAAGGGGAUGGGUGAACCCGUAUUUAUAUGGGGGCAGCCUUGAUCUGAAGCGCUGAUGAACGCCGGCGGUAACUAUAACCGUCCUAAGGUAGCGAAAUUCCUUGUCGUGUAAGUUACGACCUGCACGAAUGGCAUAACGACUUGAGAACUGUCUCAACGAGCAACUCGGCGAAAUUGCAAUUCCAGUAAAGAUGCUGGAUACCCAUAGUUGGACGAAAAGACCCCGUGAAGCUUUACUACAACUUGAUAUUGAAUUAUUAUUUCACCUGUUCAGCAUAGGUGGGAGCCUUCGGGCGCCAGUGAGAUACCACCCUUGUGUUGUGAUAAUUCUAAUCUAUCUCCCUGAACCGGGAGAGGAGACAGUAUCUGGUGGGUAGUUUGACUGGGGCGGUCGCCUCCCAAAAGGUAACGGAGGCGUUUACAAAGGUUGGCUAGGUUCGGAUGGAAAUCGAAUCGAUAGUGUAAAGGCACAAGCCAGCUUUACUGCAAGACCUACAAGUCGAGCAGUUACGAAAGUAUAACUUAGUGAUCCGACCGUACGAUAUAGGACGGCGGAAGCUCAACGGAUAAAAGUUACUCCGGGGAUAACAGGCUAGUCUGGUCCAAGAGUUCACAUCGACGACCAGGUUCGGCACCUCGAUGUCGGCUCGUCGCAUCCUGGGGGUGAAGAAGCUCCCAAGGGUUUGGCUGUUCGCCAAUUAAAGCGGCACGCGAGCUGGGUUCAGAACGUCGUGAGACAGUUCGGUCUCCUAUCCACUAUGGGCGUUGAAAUUUGAAGGGGCACAUCUCUAGUACGAGAGGACCGAGAUGUACGAACCUCUAGUGUACCAGCUGUUCUACCAAGGGCAUUGCUGGGUAGCUACGUUCGGUUAGGAUAAGCGCUGAAAGCAUCUAAGUGCGAAGCCGUCCCAAAGAUUAGAUUUCAUUACAAGGUUCCCGGUAGACGACCGGGUUGAUAGGCGGUAGGUGUAAGGGCAGUAAUGUCUUAAGCCGGGCCGUACUAAUUACCAAUCUAUCUUAACCAC